AAGAGACGUUGCCCUUCGGGGUAUACCUCCCACCCUUUGUUUAUUAUACCUUUGUUGCUUUGGCGGGCCCGUCCUCGGACCACCGGCUUCUGCUGGUCAGUGCCCGCCAGAGGACCUAAAACUCUGUUUGUUAAUAUUGUCUGAGUACUAUAUAAUAGUUAUA
RNAcentral lists this unclassified non-coding RNA (163 nucleotides) under soil metagenome. RNAcentral describes it as "partial internal transcribed spacer 1". The record is from RNAcentral.